This 322-nucleotide ribosomal RNA is filed under the name uncultured eukaryote. RNAcentral's name for it is "partial 18S ribosomal RNA". It matches the Rfam family "Eukaryotic small subunit ribosomal RNA", at positions 1470 to 1796 of the family's 1831-position model. The record is from RNAcentral.
CCCUUAGAUGUUCUGGGCCGCACGCGUGCUACACUGAGUGGAUCAGCGGGUCAGGUUGCGCGAAAGCGUUUCCUAAUCUUUAAAUCCGCUCGUGAUGGGGAUUGACGGUUGCAAUUUUCUGUCAUGAACGAGGAAUACCUUGUAAGCGCGGGUCAUCAUCCCGCGCUGAAUACGUCCCUGCCCUUUGUACACACCGCCCUUCGCUCCUACCGAUUGAGUGGUCCGGUGAGGCUUUGGGAUCUGAGCGGAAAGAGCGUUUCGCUGUUUCUGCUCGGAAAACUCAGUCGAACCUUAUCAUUUAGAGGAAGGAGAAGUCGUAACA